This 322-nucleotide ribosomal RNA is filed under the name uncultured eukaryote. RNAcentral describes it as "partial 18S ribosomal RNA". It matches the Rfam family "Eukaryotic small subunit ribosomal RNA", at positions 1470 to 1796 of the family's 1831-position model. The record is from RNAcentral.
CCCUUAGAUGUUCUGGGCCGCACGCGUGCUACACUGAGUGGAUCAGCGGGUCAGGUUGCGCGAAAGCGUUUCCUAAUCUUUAAAUCCGCUCGUGAUGGGGAUUGACGGUUGCAAUUUUCUGUCAUGAACGAGGAAUACCUUGUAAGCGCGGGUCAUCAUCCCGCGCUGAAUACGUCCCUGCCCUUUGUACACACCGCCCGUCGCUCCUACCGAUUGAGUGAUCCGGUGAGGCUUUGGGAUCUGAGCGGAAAGAGCGUUUCGCUGUUUCUGCCCGGAAAACUCAGUCGAACCUUAUCAUUUAGAGGAAGGAGAAGUCGUAACA